AACGAACGCUGGCGGCAUGCCUAACACAUGCAAGUCGAACGAGCCCUUCGGGUCUAUUGGCGCACGGGUUCGUAACCCGUGGGAAUCUUCCCUUGUCUUCGGACUAACAGUUAGACAUGACUGCUUAUACGGGACGAGGUCGAAUACCCAAAGAUUUAUCGGGACAGAAUGUGCCCUCGUAGGAUUCGGUAGUUGGUAGGGUAAAAGCCUACCACGCCGCCGAUCCUUAGCUGGUCUGAGAGGCUGCUCAGCCACACUGAGACUGAGACGCGGCCCGGACUCUUACGCGAGGCAGCAGUGGGGAAUAUUGGAAAACGGCGGAAAGGAUGAUCGAGCACGGCCGCGUGAGUGAUGAAGGUAGGAGGGUUGUAAAGCGCUUUUAACAGGGAAGAUCAUGACAGUACCUGGAGAAUAAGCCCCGGCUAACUCCGUG
RNAcentral lists this ribosomal RNA (433 nucleotides) under uncultured bacterium. Its description in RNAcentral is "partial 16S ribosomal RNA". It matches the Rfam family "Bacterial small subunit ribosomal RNA", at positions 29 to 507 of the family's 1533-position model. The record is from RNAcentral.